AUCGAACGCUGGCGGCAGGCCUAACACAUGCAAGUCGAGCGGAGCGGCGGACGGGUGAGUAAUGCCUAGGAAUCUGCCCGGUAGUGGGGGAUAACGUCAGGAAACGGGCGCUAAUACAGCAUACUAUCAGAUGAGCCUAGGUCGGAUUAGCUAGUUGGUGGGGUAAAGGCUUACCAAGGUGACGAUCCGUAACUGGCCUGAGAGGAUGAUCAGUCACACUGGAACUGAGACACGGCCCAGACUCCUACGGGAGGCAGCAGUGGGGAAUAUUGGACAAUGGGCGAAAGCCUGAUCCAGCCAUGCCGCGUGUGUGAAGAAGGUCUUCGGAUUGUAAAGCACUUUAAGUUGGGAAGCGUUACCAACACAGUAAGCACCGGCUAACUUCGUGCCAGCAGCCGCGGUAAUUC
This 407-nucleotide ribosomal RNA is filed under the name uncultured bacterium. RNAcentral describes it as "partial 16S ribosomal RNA". It matches the Rfam family "Bacterial small subunit ribosomal RNA", at positions 30 to 526 of the family's 1533-position model. The record is from RNAcentral.